CCAGUGUUACGGUCUGUCGCUUGCACAUGAUUUCAUUGCAAGAGGAAAGUCCGGGCAGCACAGGGCACUCCGCUGUCGAAAUGACAGCUAUUGGUGACAGUAGGCUAAAGUAGAAGAAAACAACCGCUCCACAUCCCGUGGAGUAAGGGUGAGAAGGUGAGGUAAGAGCUCACCGGCAGGCGGGUGAUCGUCUGGCCGUACUUGCCGGAGGCUGCAAGUUCAUGUAAACUGCCGUUUGAGGGUAGCCCGUCCAAGGCAGAGGGUAGAAUGCUUAGAUAAAUGACAGACACUCCCCCAUCCCAACCCUAGGAGUACAGAACCCGGCUUAUAGUGAUACUGACUUU
Molecule: RNase P RNA, 344 nt
Filed under: Candidatus Equicola faecalis
Lineage: Bacteria; Pseudomonadati; Bacteroidota; Bacteroidia; Bacteroidales; Bacteroidaceae
Description: RNase P RNA component class A
Rfam family: Bacterial RNase P class A
About the family: Ribonuclease P (RNase P) is a ubiquitous endoribonuclease, found in archaea, bacteria and eukarya as well as chloroplasts and mitochondria. Its best characterised activity is the generation of mature 5'-ends of tRNAs by cleaving the 5'-leader elements of precursor-tRNAs. Cellular RNase Ps are ribonucleoproteins.
Source: RNAcentral